GUUUAAAAAUAGGUCUGUCAUGUUCAUUUUAUAUAUCCCCCUUCCCCACCCCAUCAUUUCUGACCAGUGUAUAUCUCAUACACCUAUGUACAGAGAUAUACACUGGUCAGCAAUGAUGGGGUGGGGAAGGGGGAUAUAUAAAAUGUACAUGACAGACCUAGAGGGGGG
Molecule: microRNA precursor, 168 nt
Filed under: Paramuricea clavata
Lineage: Eukaryota; Metazoa; Cnidaria; Anthozoa; Malacalcyonacea; Plexauridae
Source: RNAcentral